Molecule: ribosomal RNA, 395 nt
Filed under: uncultured bacterium
Lineage: Bacteria
Description: bacterial SSU rRNA
Rfam family: Bacterial small subunit ribosomal RNA
Source: RNAcentral
AAUAUUGCACAAUGGGGGAAACCCUGAUGCAGCGACGCCGCGUGAGUGAAGAAGUAAUUCGUUAUGUAAAGCUCUAUCAGCAGGGAAGAAAAUGACGGUACCUGACCAAGAAGCCCCGGCUAACUACGUGCCAGCAGCCGCGGUAAUACGUAGGGGGCAAGCGUUAUCCGGAUUUACUGGGUGUAAAGGGAGCGUAGACGGCGGUGCAAGUCUGGAGUGAAAGGCGGGGGCCCAACCCCCGGACUGCUCUGGAAACUGUAUGGCUGGAGUGCAGGAGAGGUAAGUGGAAUUCCUAGUGUAGCGGUGAAAUGCGUAGAUAUUAGGAGGAACACCAGUGGCGAAGGCGGCCCACUGGACUGCGACUGACGUUGAGGCUCGAAGGCGUGGGGAGCAAA